CAUGACAACAUCUACGAAGUGUCAAUAUCAUGCUGCUGCUUCAAAGCCGAAAUGGUGAGUGGAUGUGAAGUGAAAUUGGAUUUGGCGGAUUAAGCAUACGAUAAGAAAUGUUGUUCCAAUUAUUACGUGUAGGCAGUGGAAGCCUGUUGCUAUGAAGAAUGUUGAGCCGUACACGCUGUCUGAAAUGGUAAAUGAGGUUUCUAUGUAUUCGGAGGCUUGUAAAACAGUAAAGUAAAUUCCUAAAAUAAUAGUAAUGAAAAGGGCUUGAAUUAUUGGGAUUCGGUUACCUUCUAUGAGGCUGUGAUGGGCUCAUGUAAUUGAUACUCCGGAGGCUAGAAGGACAGAGUACCACUACUUCAAGCAC
Dipodomys spectabilis (banner-tailed kangaroo rat) is the source of this 364-nucleotide long non-coding RNA. RefSeq lists it as uncharacterized. NCBI's taxonomy places the organism in Eukaryota, Metazoa, Chordata, Mammalia, Rodentia, Heteromyidae. The record is from RefSeq and is a predicted model, not a curated record. The transcript is spliced from 3 exons.